CUUUCGGGCAAUAAUCAUAAUC
This 22-nucleotide microRNA is filed under the name Diachasmimorpha longicaudata. Its description in RNAcentral is "Dlo-Mir-315_3p* (star (passenger))". Lineage: Eukaryota; Metazoa; Arthropoda; Insecta; Hymenoptera; Braconidae. The record is from RNAcentral. RNAcentral also lists the same sequence under 2 other names.